GAUGAACGCUAGCGACAGGCUUAACACAUGCAAGUCGAGGGGCAGCAUGGGCGUGGCAACACGCCUGAUGGCGACCGGCGCACUGGUGAGUAACACGUAUGCGACCUGCCUCCUUCAGGGGGAUAACCCAGAGAAAUUUGGCCUAAUACCCCAUAGUCCGCGCGGCUGCAUGGCCGUGCGGGGAAAGCUGCGGCGGAAGGAGAUGGGCAUGCGGCGCAUUAGCUGGUUGGCGGGGCAACGGCCCACCAAGGCUACGAUGCGUAGGGGUUCUGAGAGGAAGGUCCCCCACACUGGUACUGAGACACGGACCAGACUCC
Molecule: ribosomal RNA, 317 nt
Filed under: uncultured Bacteroidales bacterium
Lineage: Bacteria; Pseudomonadati; Bacteroidota; Bacteroidia; Bacteroidales
Description: bacterial SSU rRNA
Rfam family: Bacterial small subunit ribosomal RNA
Source: RNAcentral